RNAcentral lists this ribosomal RNA (400 nucleotides) under uncultured bacterium. Its description in RNAcentral is "bacterial SSU rRNA". It matches the Rfam family "Bacterial small subunit ribosomal RNA", at positions 355 to 771 of the family's 1533-position model. The record is from RNAcentral.
UAGGGAAUAUUGCACAAUGGGCGAAAGCCUGAUGCAGCAACGCCGCGUGCGCGAAGAAGGUCUUCGGAUCGUAAAGCGCUUUUCGGGGAGAUGAGGAAGGACAGUAUCCCCGGAAUAAGGCUCGGCUAACUACGUGCCAGCAGCCGCGGUAAAACGUAGGAGCCAAGCGUUAUCCGAAUUCACUGGGCGUAAAGCGCGUGCAGGCGGCCUGGUAAGUUGGAUGUGAAAUCUCCUGGCUCAACUGGGAGAGGCCGUUCAAUACUGUCAGGCUAGAGGGCGACAGAGGGAGGUAGAAUUCCCGGUGUAGUGGUGAAAUGCGUAGAUAUCGGGAGGAAUACCAGAGGCGAAGGCGACCUCCUGGGUCGUACCUGACGCUCAGAUGCGAAAGCUAGGGGAGCGA